UACGAAGGUGGCAAGCGUUGUUCGGAAUCACUGGGCUUAAAGCGCGCGUAGGCGGAAGUUCAAGUGUCCUGUGAAAUCCCCCGGCUCAACCGGGGAACUGCGGGGCAAACUGGAUUUCUUGAGGCAAGUAGGGGUACAUGGAACUCUUAGUGGAGCGGUGGAAUGCGUAGAUAUUAAGAGGAACGCCGAUGGUGAAGACAGUGUACUGGGCUUGUCCUGACGCUGAGGUGCGAAAGCGUGGGGAGCGAACGGGAUUAGAUACCCCCGUA
Molecule: ribosomal RNA, 269 nt
Filed under: uncultured prokaryote
Description: partial 16S ribosomal RNA
Rfam family: Bacterial small subunit ribosomal RNA
Source: RNAcentral